This 2990-nucleotide ribosomal RNA is filed under the name Salmonella enterica. RNAcentral describes it as "23S ribosomal RNA". It matches the Rfam family "Bacterial large subunit ribosomal RNA". Lineage: Bacteria; Pseudomonadati; Pseudomonadota; Gammaproteobacteria; Enterobacterales; Enterobacteriaceae. The record is from RNAcentral.
GGUUAAGCGACUAAGCGUACACGGUGGAUGCCCUGGCAGUCAGAGGCGAUGAAGGGCGUGCUAAUCUGCGAUAAGCGCCGGUAAGGUGAUAUGAACCGUUAUAACCGGCGAUACCCGAAUGGGGAAACCCAGUGUGAUUCGUCACACUAUCAUUAACUGAAUCCAUAGGUUAAUGAGGCGAACCGGGGGAACUGAAACAUCUAAGUACCCCGAGGAAAAGAAAUCAACCGAGAUUCCCCCAGUAGCGGCGAGCGAACGGGGAGGAGCCCAGAGCCUGAAUCAGCAUGUGUGUUAGUGGAAGCGUCUGGAAAGGCGCGCGAUACAGGGUGACAGCCCCGUACACAAAAGCGCAUGUGCUGUGAGCUCGAUGAGUAGGGCGGGACACGUGGUAUCCUGUCUGAAUAUGGGGGGACCAUCCUCCAAGGCUAAAUACUCCUGACUGACCGAUAGUGAACCAGUACCGUGAGGGAAAGGCGAAAAGAACCCCGGCGAGGGGAGUGAAAAAGAACCUGAAACCGUGUACGUACAAGCAGUGGGAGCACAGGUUUACCUGUGUGACUGCGUACCUUUUGUAUAAUGGGUCAGCGACUUAUAUUCUGUAGCAAGGUUAACCGAAUAGGGGAGCCGUAGGGAAACCGAGUCUUAACCGGGCGUUAAGUUGCAGGGUAUAGACCCGAAACCCGGUGAUCUAGCCAUGGGCAGGUUGAAGGUUGGGUAACACUAACUGGAGGACCGAACCGACUAAUGUUGAAAAAAUUAGCGGAUGACCUGUGGCUGGGGGUGAAAGGCCAAUCAAACCGGGAGAUAGCUGGUUCUCCCCGAAAGCUAUUUAGGUAGCGCCUCGUGAAUUCAUCUCCGGGGGUAGAGCACUGUUUCGGCUAGGGGGCCAUCCCGGCUUACCAACCCGAUGCAAACUGCGAAUACCGGAGAAUGUUAUCACGGGAGACACACGGCGGGUGCUAACGUCCGUCGUGAAGAGGGAAACAACCCAGACCGCCAGCUAAGGUCCCAAAGUCAUGGUUAAGUGGGAAACGAUGUGGGAAGGCCCAGACAGCCAGGAUGUUGGCUUAGAAGCAGCCAUCAUUUAAAGAAAGCGUAAUAGCUCACUGGUCGAGUCGGCCUGCGCGGAAGAUGUAACGGGGCUAAACCAUGCACCGAAGCUGCGGCAGCGAACGUAUCACUUAAAGCGAUUCAGCGGGUUACGAUUGACGGAGCGAAGCGACGUCAAAGCGUAUACAAAGUCGAGUCGGUUUAAGGAUACGUUCGUUGGGUAGGGGAGCGUUCUGUAAGCCUGCGAAGGUGGCCUGUGAGGGUUGCUGGAGGUAUCAGAAGUGCGAAUGCUGACAUAAGUAACGAUAAAGCGGGUGAAAAGCCCGCUCGCCGGAAGACCAAGGGUUCCUGUCCAACGUUAAUCGGGGCAGGGUGAGUCGACCCCUAAGGCGAGGCCGAAAGGCGUAGUCGAUGGGAAACGGGUUAAUAUUCCCGUACUUGGUGUUACUGCGAAGGGGGGACGGAGAAGGCUAUGUUGGCCGGGCGACGGUUGUCCCGGUUUAAGCGUGUAGGUGUGUGUUCCAGGUAAAUCCGGUUCACUUUAACACUGAGGCGUGAUGACGAGGCACUACGGUGCUGAAGCAACAAAUGCCCUGCUUCCAGGAAAAGCCUCUAAGCAUCAGGUAACAUCAAAUCGUACCCCAAACCGACACAGGUGGUCAGGUAGAGAAUACCAAGGCGCUUGAGAGAACUCGGGUGAAGGAACUAGGCAAAAUGGUGCCGUAACUUCGGGAGAAGGCACGCUGACACGUAGGUGAAGUGAUUUACUCACGGAGCUGAAGUCAGUCGAAGAUACCAGCUGGCUGCAACUGUUUAUUAAAAACACAGCACUGUGCAAACACGAAAGUGGACGUAUACGGUGUGACGCCUGCCCGGUGCCGGAAGGUUAAUUGAUGGGGUCAGCGCAAGCGAAGCUCCUGAUCGAAGCCCCGGUAAACGGCGGCCGUAACUAUAACGGUCCUAAGGUAGCGAAAUUCCUUGUCGGGUAAGUUCCGACCUGCACGAAUGGCGUAAUGAUGGCCAGGCUGUCUCCACCCGAGACUCAGUGAAAUUGAACUCGCUGUGAAGAUGCAGUGUACCCGCGGCAAGACGGAAAGACCCCGUGAACCUUUACUAUAGCUUGACACUGAACAUUGAGCCUUGAUGUGUAGGAUAGGUGGGAGGCUUUGAAGCGUGGACGCCAGUCUGCGUGGAGCCGACCUUGAAAUACCACCCUUUAAUGUUUGAUGUUCUAACGUGGACCCGUAAUCCGGGUUGCGGACAGUGUCUGGUGGGUAGUUUGACUGGGGCGGUCUCCUCCUAAAGAGUAACGGAGGAGCACGAAGGUUGGCUAAUCUCGGUCGGACAUCAGGAGGUUAGUGCAAUGGCAUAAGCCAGCUUGACUGCGAGCGUGACGGCGCGAGCAGGUGCGAAAGCAGGUCAUAGUGAUCCGGUGGUUCUGAAUGGAAGGGCCAUCGCUCAACGGAUAAAAGGUACUCCGGGGAUAACAGGCUGAUACCGCCCAAGAGUUCAUAUCGACGGCGGUGUUUGGCACCUCGAUGUCGGCUCAUCACAUCCUGGGGCUGAAGUAGGUCCCAAGGGUAUGGCUGUUCGCCAUUUAAAGUGGUACGCGAGCUGGGUUUAGAACGUCGUGAGACAGUUCGGUCCCUAUCUGCCGUGGGCGCUGGAGAACUGAGGGGGGCUGCUCCUAGUACGAGAGGACCGGAGUGGACGCAUCACUGGUGUUCGGGUUGUCAUGCCAAUGGCACUGCCCGGUAGCUAAAUGCGGAAGAGAUAAGUGCUGAAAGCAUCUAAGCACGAAACUUGCCCCGAGAUGAGUUCUCCCUGAGACUUUAGGUCUCCUGAAGGAACGUUGAAGACGACGACGUUGAUAGGCCGGGUGUGUAAGCGCAGCGAUGCGUUGAGCUAACCGGUACUAAUGAACCGUGAGGCUUAACCUU